CCCAAGGACACCCCCUCGGGCAUCUCUAAAGUGAAAAUACUCUUCACCUUGGCCAAGCAGAGCAAGGCCCUCGGUGCCUACAGGCUGGCCCGGCACGCCUAUGACAAGCUGCGUGGCCUGUACAUCCCUGCCAGAUUCCAAAAGUCCAUUGAGCUGGGUACCCUGACCAUCCGCGCCAAGCCCUUCCACGACAGUGAGGUGAGGAUGCAGCACCCUUGGGCAGGUGGCUUCUCCUCCUCUCCCUUGAGGCCAUCUCAUGCCUUCUUGCCUGGCCUGGGUUCCGUUUGAAGAGAGACAGCUGCAGCUCCCUCUAGGCUCUGUGCCCCCUGCUCAAGCCUGGCCAUGCCAGCUCCCCUGUGCUUCCCUGUCCACCUCCUGUUCUCCCCGCAGUCCACCUGGCGCCCGCUCACAGCCCCCGGCCCCAGCCUCAGCCCUCAGCCUGGCCUCCCUUGCUCCUUGCCCUCCCC
RNAcentral lists this small RNA (467 nucleotides) under Pan troglodytes (chimpanzee). RNAcentral's name for it is "retained intron". The record is from RNAcentral. Lineage: Eukaryota; Metazoa; Chordata; Mammalia; Primates; Hominidae.